This 720-nucleotide small RNA is filed under the name Arabidopsis thaliana (thale cress). RNAcentral describes it as "putative long intergenic non-coding RNA". The record is from RNAcentral. Lineage: Eukaryota; Viridiplantae; Streptophyta; Magnoliopsida; Brassicales; Brassicaceae.
UGUUACAUAUCUUGAUAAGCCAUUUUGGUACUUAUCAAUUGGUGCUUUCAUUGAGAGUUGAACUCAAGACUACUCAAGCUGCUCAAACCAAUCAAGCCGCCACAAUCUCUGAUCUAGAAGCAACACUCGAUCGAUUUGUUGAAAAGGUGGAGGAAAAGCUAGAUUCCAUCGUCCAAAGGCUUGAAGCUCAACAAGAGGAGUAUCGAAAAGGGAUUCGUGAAAUUUUUGCUACGCUUUUUCCGGUGAAUGCAACUGAAGAACCACCUGAGAAGAGGAAACAAGAACAUCACGAGCUGCCUCAAGGUCUCACGACCAAAUCUGAACCCACACCAAGGAAAAAUGCAGAAAUCUCGCCUGGGCGUUUUGUCGAACACUUGGCGUGUGUUUCACCAGCAGAAGAAUUUCGAUUCUGGAUUAUCAAGUACCAAAAUGGCUUAUCAAGUGAAGUAACAGAAAUGAGGUGAGAUACAGAAGAAAUAGAGAUGAGAUUCAGAAGAGUUCAGAGAAAGGCAGGAAGAAGAAGAGAGAAGAUGAAGAAGAUAAACAUUUCUUGUUCUUAAUCGAUAAGUGUUUUUCAAUGACUAAAGAAGAGUUUAAAUAAAAGACAUUACUAAAGUAAACAGGCCAAACACUAAGCCAAUUGAUAAGCGUGAACUUAUCAAGAAGGAAAACAGAGAAUAGAAGUAGAAAAGGAAGAAGAAGUAUAGGAUAGAAGUCGAG